RNAcentral lists this ribosomal RNA (497 nucleotides) under uncultured bacterium. RNAcentral's name for it is "partial 16S ribosomal RNA". It matches the Rfam family "Bacterial small subunit ribosomal RNA", at positions 28 to 507 of the family's 1533-position model. The record is from RNAcentral.
GAUGAACGCUGGCGGCGUGCCUAAUACAUGCAAGUCGAGCGAACAGACGAGGAGCUUGCUCCUCUGACGUUAGCGGCGGACGGGUGAGUAACACGUGGAUAACCUACCUAUAAGACUGGGAUAACUUCGGGAAACCGGAGCUAAUACCGGAUAAUAUAUUGAACCGCAUGGUUCAAUAGUGAAAGACGGUUUUGCUGUCACUUAUAGAUGGAUCCGCGCCGCAUUAGCUAGUUGGUAAGGUAACGGCUUACCAAGGCAACGAUGCGUAGCCGACCUGAGAGGGGGAUCGGCCACACUGGAACUGAGACACGGUCCAGACUCCUACGGGAGGCAGCAGUAGGGAAUCUUCCGCAAUGGUCGAAAGCUUGACGGAGCAACGCCGCGUGAGUGAUGAAGGUCUUCGGAUCGUAAAACUCUGUUAUUAGGGAAGAACAAAUGUGUAAGGAACUAUGCACGUCUUGACGGUACCUAAUCAGAAAGCCACGGCUAACUACGUG